RNAcentral lists this ribosomal RNA (427 nucleotides) under uncultured bacterium. Its description in RNAcentral is "bacterial SSU rRNA". It matches the Rfam family "Bacterial small subunit ribosomal RNA", at positions 355 to 774 of the family's 1533-position model. The record is from RNAcentral.
UGGGGAAUUUUGGACAAUGGGCGCAAGCCUGAUCCAGCCAUGCCGCGUGCAGGAUGAAGGCCUUCGGGUUGUAAACUGCUUUUGUACGGAACGAAAAGGUUUGGCCUAAUAAGCUGAGCUCAUGACGGUACCGUAAGAAUAAGCACCGGCUAACUACGUGCCAGCAGCCGCGGUAAUACGUAGGGUGCAAGCGUUAAUCGGAAUUACUGGGCGUAAAGCGUGCGCAGGCGGUUUUGUAAGACAGAGGUGAAAUCCCCGGGCUCAACCUGGGAACUGCCUUUGUGACUGCAAGGCUGGAGUGCGGCAGAGGGGGAUGGAAUUCCGCGUGUAGCAGUGAAAUGCGUAGAUAUGCGGAGGAACACCGAUGGCGAAGGCAAUCCCCUGGGCCUGUACUGACGCUCAUGCACGAAAGCGUGGGGAGCGAACA